GAGGAAUAUUGGUCAAUGGGGGCAACCCUGAACCAGCCAUGCCGCGUGAAGGAUGACUGCCUUAUGGGUUGUAAACUUCUUUUGUAUGGGGCGAAAUGCUAUACGAGAUAUAGAGCUGACAGUACCAUACGAAUAAGCAUCGGCUAACUCCGUGCCAGCAGCCGCGGUAAUACGGAGGAUGCGAGCGUUAUCCGGAUUCACUGGGUUUAAAGGGUGAGUAGGCGGGUUAGUAAGUCAGUGGUGAAAUACUGUCGCUUAACGACAGGGGUGCCAUUGAUACUGCUGAUCUUGAGUUCAGUUGAGGCAGGCGGAAUGUGCAGUGUAGCGGUGAAAUGCUUAGAUAUUGCACAGAACACCGAUUGCGGAGGCAGCUUGCUAAGCUGAAACUGACGCUGAGUCACGAAAGCGUGGGGAUCAAAC
Molecule: ribosomal RNA, 420 nt
Filed under: uncultured bacterium
Lineage: Bacteria
Description: bacterial SSU rRNA
Rfam family: Bacterial small subunit ribosomal RNA
Source: RNAcentral